GAUGAACGCUAGCUACAGGCUUAACACAUGCAAGUCGAGGGGCAGCAUUUUUCUAGCAAUAGAAGAGAUGGCGACCGGCGCACGGGUGAGUAACACGUAUCCAACCUGCCGAUAACUCCGGAAUAGCCUUUCGAAAGAAAGAUUAAUACCGGAUGGCAUACGAAUAUCGCAUGAUAUUUUUAUUAAAGAAUUUCGGUUAUCGAUGGGGAUGCGUUCCAUUAGUUUGUUGGCGGGGUAACGGCCCACCAAGACUACGAUGGAUAGGGGUUCUGAGAGGAAGGUCCCCCACAUUGGAACUGAGACACGGUCCAAACUCCUACGGGAGGCAGCAGUGAGGAAUAUUGGUCAAUGGACGAGAGUCUGAACCAGCCAAGUAGCGUGAAGGAUGAAGGUCCUACGGAUUGUAAACUCUUUUAUACGGGAAUAAAGUUAGCCACGUGUGUUUUUUGUAUGUACCGUAUGAAUAAGGAUCGGCUAACUCCGUG
RNAcentral lists this ribosomal RNA (485 nucleotides) under uncultured bacterium. Its description in RNAcentral is "bacterial SSU rRNA". It matches the Rfam family "Bacterial small subunit ribosomal RNA", at positions 28 to 507 of the family's 1533-position model. The record is from RNAcentral.